GACCGGCGCACGGUUUGAGUAACACGUAUGCAACCUGCCCGCCACAGGGGGAUAAGCGGAAGAAAUUCCGUCUAAUACCGCGUGACGCGGCGUCGGGGCAUCCCGGUGCCGCCAAAGGGAUUACCGGUGGCGGAUGGGCAUGCGGCGCAUUAGCUAGUCGGCGGGGUAACGGCCCACCGAGGCGACGAUGCGUAGGGGUUCUGAGAGGAAGGUCCCCCACACUGGUACUGAGACACGGACCAGACUCCUACGGGAGGCAGCAGUGAGGAAUAUUGGUCAAUGGGCGGGAGCCUGAACCAGCCAAGUCGCGUGAGGGAUGACGGUCCUACGGAUUGUAAACCUCUUUUGCCGGGGAGCAAGCGUGCGUUCGUGAACGCGCGUCGAGAGUACCCGGAGAAAAAGCAUCGGCUAACUCCGUGCCAGCAGCCGCGGUAAUACGGAGGAUGCGAGCGUUAUCCGGAUUUAUUGGGUUUAAAGGGUGCGUAGGCGGGAUGCCAAGUCAGCGGUAAAAAAGCGGUGCUCAACGCCGUCGAGCCGUUGAAACUGGCGUUCUUGAGUGGGCGAGAAGUAUGCGGAAUGCGUGGUGUAGCGGUGAAAUGCAUAGAUAUCACGCAGAACUCCGAUUGCGAAGGCAGCAUACCGGCG
RNAcentral lists this ribosomal RNA (645 nucleotides) under uncultured bacterium. RNAcentral describes it as "bacterial SSU rRNA". It matches the Rfam family "Bacterial small subunit ribosomal RNA", at positions 93 to 734 of the family's 1533-position model. The record is from RNAcentral.